GUCUAUGGCCAUGUCACCCUGAACAAGCCCGAUCUCGUCUGAUCUCGGAAACUAGGCAGGGUCAGGCCUGGUUAAUACUUGGAUGGGAGACCACUUAGGAAUAUCGGGUGCUGUAUGCA
This 119-nucleotide ribosomal RNA is filed under the name Pteropus alecto (black flying fox). The record is from RNAcentral. Lineage: Eukaryota; Metazoa; Chordata; Mammalia; Chiroptera; Pteropodidae.